CCCAGCGGUAAGUCAGCUGUGCAGGCCUGUCCCGUGCCUGAUCCAGUGUUACUCUGCUGGAAUAGAAACUCAUUGCCAGCGUAGCUCUGUCCUGCUGCCUCUGUUUUAGGGGUGGCUGUGGCGGAGCCAUGGCAGUGCUCUGGACCCUCAGAGAGUGGAGCUUCCCCGUAUGUAACCGGGACGUUCCUAGUCUGGGUUCAAACACU
This is a small nucleolar RNA of Engraulis encrasicolus (European anchovy), 206 nucleotides long. RefSeq annotates it as small nucleolar RNA SNORA74. Lineage: Eukaryota; Metazoa; Chordata; Actinopteri; Clupeiformes; Engraulidae. The record is from RefSeq and is a predicted model, not a curated record. The transcript has a single exon.